GACGAACGCUGGCGGCGUGCUUAACACAUGCAAGUCGAACGGAAAGGCCUGCUUUCCCUUGUGGAUUGCGGGUACUCGAGUGGCGAACGGGUGAGUAACACGUGAGUGAUCUGCCCCCAACUUGGGUAUAAGCCUGGGAAACUGGGUCUAAUUCCCGAUAGGACUGCAGGGUGGUGCCUGUGGUGGAAAACGAUUUUCUAGUGGUUGGGGAUGAGCUCGCGGCCUAUCAGCUUGUUGGUGGGGUAAUGGCCUACCAAGGCGGCGACGGGUAGCCGGCCUGGGAGGGUGGACGGCCACAUUGGGACUGAGAUACGGCCCAGACUCCUACGGGCGGCAGCAGUGGGGAAUAUUGCACAAUGGGCGGAAGCCUGAUGCAGCGACGCCGCGUGGGGGAUGACGGCCUUCGGGUUGUAAACUCCUUUCGACCGCGAGGAAGCCACCUGGUUGGAAGGGUGGUGACGGUAGUGGUAGAAGAAGCACCGGCUAACUACGCG
RNAcentral lists this ribosomal RNA (494 nucleotides) under uncultured bacterium. RNAcentral's name for it is "partial 16S ribosomal RNA". It matches the Rfam family "Bacterial small subunit ribosomal RNA", at positions 28 to 507 of the family's 1533-position model. The record is from RNAcentral.